Molecule: long non-coding RNA, 413 nt
Filed under: Monodelphis domestica (gray short-tailed opossum)
Lineage: Eukaryota; Metazoa; Chordata; Mammalia; Didelphimorphia; Didelphidae
Description: lncRNA (ENSMODG00000042251.1)
Source: RNAcentral
CAUGAACCAUCAUUAGAAGAAUAUUGUUGUUAAAAAUAUGGACAAUUUUAUUUUCCCAGAAUGAAUCUUGAGGUCGAAAAAGUAGUACUCAGUUUCUUAGAGGCUAUUCAGCACACUUUCUCCUUUCCAUUCAGCUCUGAGACCAGUUCAUUCUUUAUUCCAAGUCUGUUCAAGAUACAAAUGUAGGAUGGAUGGGCUAAUUGGACAGUCAAUCCAAUGAUAUUUUAGCCUGGACAAAAGGCAUUUCUCAUAUGCUUGGUUUUCCUGGAAAAUAUAGAGAACUUCCCCAAUUAAAAGGAACUUCACCAUUUGGAACUUUAUUGGACAUCAUCCACUAUAUUGGUCAAUACAGUUGGAGUAUGUCUGAAAAAAUGAAAAGGAUUCAAUCACGUUUGGAGACAGACACAUGCUAC